This 74-nucleotide transfer RNA is filed under the name Ephemerocybe angulata. Its description in RNAcentral is "Coprinellus angulatus tRNA". It matches the Rfam family "tRNA". From Rfam's summary of the family: Transfer RNA (tRNA) molecules are approximately 80 nucleotides in length. Lineage: Eukaryota; Fungi; Basidiomycota; Agaricomycetes; Agaricales; Psathyrellaceae. The record is from Rfam by way of RNAcentral.
GGCCGACUAGCUCAGUUGGUUAGAGCGUCGUGCUAAUAACGCGAAGGUCUUGGGUUCGAUCCCCACUUUGGCCA